Molecule: ribosomal RNA, 499 nt
Filed under: Vibrio sp.
Lineage: Bacteria; Pseudomonadati; Pseudomonadota; Gammaproteobacteria; Vibrionales; Vibrionaceae
Description: bacterial SSU rRNA
Rfam family: Bacterial small subunit ribosomal RNA
Source: RNAcentral
UUCGGGGGACGAUAACGGCGUCGAGCGGCGGACGGGUGAGUAAUGCCUAGGAAAUUGCCCUGAUGUGGGGGAUAACCAUUGGAAACGAUGGCUAAUACCGCAUAAUGCCUACGGGCCAAAGAGGGGGACCUUCGGGCCUCUCGCGUCAGGAUAUGCCUAGGUGGGAUUAGCUAGUUGGUGAGGUAAUGGCUCACCAAGGCGACGAUCCCUAGCUGGUCUGAGAGGAUGAUCAGCCACACUGGAACUGAGACACGGUCCAGACUCCUACGGGAGGCAGCAGUGGGGAAUAUUGCACAAUGGGCGCAAGCCUGAUGCAGCCAUGCCGCGUGUGUGAAGAAGGCCUUCGGGUUGUAAAGCACUUUCAGUCGUGAGGAAGGUGGUGUAGUUAAUAGCUGCAUUAUUUGACGUUAGCGACAGAAGAAGCACCGGCUAACUCCGUGCCAGCAGCCGCGGUAAUACGGAGGGUGCGAGCGUUAAUCGGAAUUACUGGGCGUAAAGC